This 606-nucleotide ribosomal RNA is filed under the name uncultured bacterium. RNAcentral's name for it is "bacterial SSU rRNA". It matches the Rfam family "Bacterial small subunit ribosomal RNA", at positions 331 to 929 of the family's 1533-position model. The record is from RNAcentral.
CCAGACUCCUACGGGAGGCAGCAGUGGGGGAUUUUGCACAAUGGGCGCAAGCCUGAUGCAGCGACGCCGCGUGAGGGAUGGAGGCCUUCGGGUUGUGAACCUCUGUCGCCGGUGAUGUAGGCUCUGCUUUGUGGGUGGGGUUGACGGUAGCCGGGGUAUGAAGUGCCGGCUAACUACGUGCCAGCAGCCGCGGUAAUACGUAGGGCGCGAGCGUUGUCCGGAAUUAUUGGGCGUAAAGAGCUCGUAGGCGGCUGGUCGCGUCUGUCGUGAAAUCCUCUGGCUUAACUGGGGGCGUGCGGUGGGUACGGGCCGGCUUGAGUGCGGUAGGGGAGGCUGGAAUUCCUGGUGUAGCGGUGGAAUGCGCAGAUAUCAGGAGGAACACCGGUGGCGAAGGCGGGUCUCUGGGCCGUGUACUGACGCUGAGGAGCGAAAGCGUGGGGAGCGAACAGGAUUAGAUACCCUGGUAGUCCAUGCUGUAAACGUUGGGCACUAGGUGUGGGGGGUCUUUCCGGGUCUUCCGCGCCGUAGCUAACGCAUUAAGUGCCCCGCCUGGGGAGUACGGCCGCAAGGCUAAAACUCAAAGGAAUUGACGGGGGCCCGCACAAG